RNAcentral lists this ribosomal RNA (606 nucleotides) under Curtobacterium sp. BC2(2015). RNAcentral describes it as "bacterial SSU rRNA". It matches the Rfam family "Bacterial small subunit ribosomal RNA", at positions 73 to 692 of the family's 1533-position model. The record is from RNAcentral. Lineage: Bacteria; Bacillati; Actinomycetota; Actinomycetes; Micrococcales; Microbacteriaceae.
GCCCAGCUUGCUGGGUGGAUUAGUGGCGAACGGGUGAGUAACACGUGAGUAACCUGCCCCUGACUCUGGGAUAAGCGUUGGAAACGACGUCUAAUACUGGAUAUGAUCGCCGGCCGCAUGGUCUGGUGGUGGAAAGAUUUUUUGGUUGGGGAUGGACUCGCGGCCUAUCAGCUUGUUGGUGAGGUAAUGGCUCACCAAGGCGACGACGGGUAGCCGGCCUGAGAGGGUGACCGGCCACACUGGGACUGAGACACGGCCCAGACUCCUACGGGAGGCAGCAGUGGGGAAUAUUGCACAAUGGGCGAAAGCCUGAUGCAGCAACGCCGCGUGAGGGAUGACGGCCUUCGGGUUGUAAACCUCUUUUAGUAGGGAAGAAGCGCAAGUGACGGUACCUGCAGAAAAAGCACCGGCUAACUACGUGCCAGCAGCCGCGGUAAUACGUAGGGUGCAAGCGUUGUCCGGAAUUAUUGGGCGUAAAGAGCUCGUAGGCGGUUUGUCGCGUCUGCUGUGAAAUCCCGAGGCUCAACCUCGGGCUUGCAGUGGGUACGGGCAGACUAGAGUGCGGUAGGGGAGAUUGGAAUUCCUGGUGUAGCGGUGGAAUGCGCA